Molecule: long non-coding RNA, 275 nt
Organism: Poeciliopsis prolifica (blackstripe livebearer)
Lineage: Eukaryota; Metazoa; Chordata; Actinopteri; Cyprinodontiformes; Poeciliidae
Exons: 3
Source: RefSeq, a predicted model, not a curated record
CUCUUCCUUCUGCUUUUACUGCAGGUUUCUUGGUUGUCAUAUUUUCAGUUAUUCUGGGAUUUAUCUGCAGAAGACGUCCACAACGAUGUUAUUAAACUUUCACGUAAAUCUGGAGUUUAUUUCAUUUUUAAAGCGCCUCUCUAAGAACAUCCGGAUCACCUGCACAAGGAGAAACUGCCACUGUAGAUGAACUGUACUCAAGUCUCCAACAACAAACCAGAGACAUUUAUCAAACUGUCUCCUUUGGUCACCAUCAGUAUAAAUCAGAAACAAAU